GAUGGGUGAGUAUAGCAUAAGCACCAUCUUUGUGGGCAAAGAUGGUGCUUAUGCUAUACUCACCCAGA
RNAcentral lists this microRNA precursor (68 nucleotides) under Marmota monax (woodchuck). Lineage: Eukaryota; Metazoa; Chordata; Mammalia; Rodentia; Sciuridae. The record is from RNAcentral.